ACCCUCGCCAACAACAACCAUUGUGGAGCCACUGCUUUGCCACCAUCGAGAGCUAUUGUAGGUGGUCGGCCCUAGGUCUUCCACCACCAUGAUUGGGAGAAAGAAAAGGAGAGGAUAUCCUCUGUUUUCAUGAAGAAGAGAAGAAGAGAGAGUUCUUCUCUCUCUUCCUUCCUCCCUCUCUUCUCUAGUCAGUUUUAUUUUUUUAUUUUUUCUUAGAUGUAUCAAG
This 226-nucleotide long non-coding RNA is filed under the name Elaeis guineensis (African oil palm). Its description in RNAcentral is "long non-coding RNA (EGUI_LNC029826)". Lineage: Eukaryota; Viridiplantae; Streptophyta; Magnoliopsida; Arecales; Arecaceae. The record is from RNAcentral.